CACCAUAUCACUUUCUCCCUCUCUUCACUCUCUCCCUCUAUUGCUCUUCUUUCUUUCUUUUUCAAUAUUCUCUUUGGGGGCAAAGGUGAUCAAACUUCUUUGGGGUAAAAUAGUGAAAAGCCGACAUGGGGAAGUGAUCGACCCUUGAGUUAAGUUUAAAUUUAUUUUUUUGUACUCCAUAAACUUUUUACCGUGGGUAAAAAGAUUCUUCUUGGGGUGUAAAAAAAAUCAAAUUUAAAUUUAGCCCAAGAGUUGAUGAUGUAUUUUCCCAUGAAGGCUGCUCACUAUUUUACCCCAAGAUGAUUGGACACCUUAUACCCCAAAGAAGAUGAAAAUAAGUAGUGAAUUUGAAUAAAUUAUUGUAAGAAUUAUUGUAUUGUAUGAAUUAUUAAUAAAAUGAGAUAUUGUUAUAUGCCUCAAUUUUGUUCACUCCUUUUUAUUUUAUACUUGCUUUUAUAUUCUAAUUUUGUAUUUAAUGAAUAAAUAUUAAUUUAGUUCAUUUAA
This 504-nucleotide long non-coding RNA is filed under the name Medicago truncatula (barrel medic). RNAcentral describes it as "lncRNA gene37964". The stretch from base 100 to 298 matches the Rfam family "MIR2670 microRNA precursor family". The record is from RNAcentral. Lineage: Eukaryota; Viridiplantae; Streptophyta; Magnoliopsida; Fabales; Fabaceae.